CUAUGGAGCCCCUUGGCAAAGAAAUACCUGUUUAGAGGAACCCAUGAUUGGCUUCGAAGAGCCCGGAGCACCAGCAGGGACCCAUAAGGUACUUCUAAUGGGGAGCGUGUCCUGAACUGAAGCCAGCUGAAGUGGAUGAAGUCUUGCUGUGAUUUCAACCGGGUGACUUGGCUUGUACUCAUGCAGUAAACCAGAGAUCACUUCCUUCC
RNAcentral lists this long non-coding RNA (209 nucleotides) under Gallus gallus (chicken). Lineage: Eukaryota; Metazoa; Chordata; Aves; Galliformes; Phasianidae. The record is from RNAcentral.